This 253-nucleotide ribosomal RNA is filed under the name uncultured bacterium. RNAcentral describes it as "partial 16S ribosomal RNA". It matches the Rfam family "Bacterial small subunit ribosomal RNA", at positions 524 to 776 of the family's 1533-position model. The record is from RNAcentral.
UACGAAGGGUUCAAGCGUUACUCGGAAUUACUGGGCGUAAAGCGUGCGUAGGUGGUUUGUUAAGUCUGAUGUGAAAGCCCCGGGCUCAACCUGGGAAUUGCAUUGGAUACUGGCAGGCUAGAGUGCGGUAGAGGGUAGUGGAAUUCCCGGUGUAGCAGUGAAAUGCGUAGAGAUCGGGAGGAACACCAGUGGCGAAGGCGACUACCUGGACCAGCACUGACACUGAGGCACGAAAGCGUGGGGAGCAAACAGG